GGGGACGCGUGGAUUCGACAGAAGCUACCUCAACGGAAUUGCAAGCCGAGGUGUCGUUAUCUCGUUAAUCAAACGACAAAAAAGUAACUGGCAAACAGCCCGUUGCACUGGCUGCUUAAAAAAUAAGCGCCACGCUUGUCUUUAUCGUUCCUCAUGCGCAAAGAUAGGUGCCAACUUAUUUGAGGUAUAGUGGCCUUGAUACCGAUAGAGGUGACUGAAUUUUUAUCGGUUGCGGUACUUGAAUACUGUGCUAGUGACGAAUCAAGUAAGUAAGUAAACAAUAUUGCUAGAUAAGCUUGUAGUACAUUUCGCUAGAGAUGCUUUUGGACAGGGGGUUCGACCCCCCCUCGUCUCCACCA
Molecule: transfer-messenger RNA, 359 nt
Filed under: Dehalococcoidia
Lineage: Bacteria; Bacillati; Chloroflexota
Also listed under: 1 other name
Description: CAJWUJ01 sp913047625 Standard tmRNA
Rfam family: transfer-messenger RNA
About the family: Bacterial tmRNA, also known as 10Sa RNA or SsrA, is named for its dual tRNA and mRNA-like properties. Its role is to liberate the mRNA from a stalled ribosome.
Source: RNAcentral